GAUGAACGCUGGCGGCGUGCCUAAUACAUGCAAGUCGAGCGAACGGACGAGAAGCUUGCUUCUCUGAUGUUAGCGGCGGACGGGUGAGUAACACGUGGAUAACCUACCUAUAAGACUGGGAUAACUUCGGGAAACCGGAGCUAAUACCGGAUAAUAUUUUGAACCGCAUGGUUCAAAAGUGAAAGACGGUCUUGCUGUCACUUAUAGAUGGAUCCGCGCUGCAUUAGCUAGUUGGUAAGGUAACGGCUUACCAAGGCAACGAUGCAUAGCCGACCUGAGAGAGUGAAAGACCACACAGGAACUGAGAAACGGUCCAGACUUCUACGGGAGGAAGCAGUAGGGAAUCUGCCGCAAAGGGCGAAAGCCUGACGGAGCAACGCCGCGUGAGUGAUGAAGGUCUUCGGAUCGUAAAACUCUGUUAUUAGGGAAGAACAUAUGUGUAAGUAACUGUGCACAUCUUGACGGUACCUAAUCAGAAAGCCACGGCUAACUACGUG
RNAcentral lists this ribosomal RNA (497 nucleotides) under uncultured bacterium. RNAcentral's name for it is "partial 16S ribosomal RNA". It matches the Rfam family "Bacterial small subunit ribosomal RNA", at positions 28 to 507 of the family's 1533-position model. The record is from RNAcentral.